Molecule: long non-coding RNA, 2384 nt
Organism: Olea europaea var. sylvestris
Lineage: Eukaryota; Viridiplantae; Streptophyta; Magnoliopsida; Lamiales; Oleaceae
Exons: 2
Source: RefSeq, a predicted model, not a curated record
UAUCGUGGCCUCGCCUCUCUACUGCAACCGGACAGGCGAUUGUAAUGGCCACUCCUAUAGGUAGUUAUGCUGCUUUUCUUCUUCUUUUUCUUCUCUUCCCUUCACUCGUUCAUAAAUCAAAACGUGCCGACCCUGUUUUCAACCCUAACCGCUUUGCCACCAUGCCGCGUCCACCAUCUGCGCAACAGUGCGUCACUUGCACCGCCAGCCAGCCACCUACUCCUGGUAAAGGAGAAGUAAAGUUUACCUGUCUGGCUUCUCCAACUCUCUUUAAACCUACAGAAUCGAAAGGAAAAAGGCAAAAACGGUGAUGUCCAAAGUGAAAUAUGAGGCCUUACGCGAGCAAAGAUUGGAAGAGAACAGGAAAAGACUUCUAUAGCCCUCAAAAACUCCUCUUAUCCCAAACCCACACCGGUAUCUCUCUUUUGUCCUCUUAUUUGACUUACAAAGUACUGUGGCUCCCCUUUUAGGCCUUUUUAUAACUCUGCCAGAUGAGUUACCAAUCGGACCCGGAACCUCUCGAAUUUGGCAUAUGCAUCAGAUGAAGAUAGAGAAUGUGCUAUAAAGAAAGCAGAUGAGCUUGAGUCAAGCCUAGAGUCUGAUUAUCCAUGUCACUGGUGGUUUUUGGCUGGUAAGCAUCAAUAGAUUACUUAACUCUGUUUUUCAUAGUGAACGUUGCUUCAAAUAUAUUCCCUUUGGAUUAGGCUGCAGACGAGAAGUAUAUUAUUGAUCCAUUCCUUUGACUUGCUCAAUAAUUUCAAACAAGGUACUGUGUGUUGGGAAAACUAGACAAGUCACUUACUCUGUAUUGAAUCAUUUGGUUGAGUGUUAUCAUUUUCUUAAGAUUGGUUUGUUGGAAGAAAAAGAGAUGACCACCUUCAUGAUGCUGUCCAGGUAAAUAUGUUUGUCAUUUACUUUAAUGUUCUUCAUUUUGAUGCUAUCAUUUCAUAUUUAUACCAUUAAAAUUUAAACCUUGAUGUAGAGUGACUUAAAAAAGCUCUUCAAGAAACCCCCUCUGGUGAAAAUUGUGUGUUUUUUGGAUUUAGGCGCAAUCUAAAAUCUCAAGUGUUUUGCAUAAAUUAUAUAUUAGGACUGACUUUUUUGUGCUGAUUUCUUUUCUUCAGGUGGUAUUGGUUUUGGUGUAAGGUUCCUUUCUCUUUCUCUUCCUAUCUCUCUAUUUGCAUCUAUGUAUAAAAUGGCCGCUAUUUCAUUUUCGACACUGCAGAUACCCAUAAAAUGGUGCUAUUUGUUCCACUGGUGUUCUGGAAAUCUGGUGCAAACUAUUAGUUUAUUUAUGAAUUUGAAUCUCUAUAGGGCUUUCUUUGAAUUAAAACUAUCCAUUGCUUCAGCAAUGGCUACUGGUACUUCUUUUUUUUCUUUUUCUUUUUUUACCUUUAUUUAACCUUCAAAUGUGCAGUGGAUUAUUGUUCUCAGAUAAUAUUUGGAAAAAGCGCUUGUAAAUGCACCUGCUAAUAUGCUCACCAUUGGUUAGUAAUCUUUCACACUUCUGCAUCUUUUUCCUAUAUCAUUACCAUUUUUUGACACUAACUACUGGAGUUGGUUACUUUAUCAAGCUUGAGUAUAAAUCAUAUUAAUUAAAACCACAUCAUAGAUAAUUUAGAAUGGAAUGGACCGCCCUUUUAAAUACAUGCCAUGUACACAGAUAUGAUUACUGUUUCUAUUGAAUUUCUUAUACUAGGCAUGUCAAGUUGUGAACAAAUCCAGAAAUGAAUGAGAUGUUCUGCACUAGCUAUCAGAUUAAAAUUGAUGGCAACUUUGGCCAGACAUAUUUGAAAUCUUGUGUUGGACAUCAUUUGGAUAUGCAGCUAAUCAACGGCAGGUGUUUCAAAACUUACUUAACUUGCUUCAAACUUUAUUUAUAGGGUGAUUUCUAGUCUUGCUGAAAAACUAACGUUUGGCUGAAUUUUGUGUUUAAAUUUAAUUUUCCUGAAUUUGUUAUAGUCCACAUUAAGGUUGGCACAUAAGAUUGGACUUAUGUUGUUACCAUUAUUUAUUGAUCUCUGUUGUCUAUGCAAUAGGUAAUGGUUAUGUAAGAUAUCAUUUCUUUAUUGAUCUCAUUAUAUGUUUUUUUAAUGCCUAUACAGAUGCAACCAAAAAGAAAGUCGAAGCGCGUGUCACCUGCUAUUCCUCCAAACUCAAGCAAUGGAAGUCCAUCUCGUUGUGGGCAAGGACAACACUCUAAUAAAUUAAACAUUCCUAUGUCAACACUUUCUACAGCUCAAUUUGAUGUAAACAGGACAACUCAAUCAAGUGUUGAUGUUAUAAUUCAUCUUUUUGUGGUUAAAUAUUAGUCAUUUAGGGUUAUUAAUACUUGAAAUAUGUGCAAUACAAUUUUAUUUCUAUGGCGAUAUGUUUCUUUUCAA